This 1101-nucleotide long non-coding RNA is filed under the name Mytilus galloprovincialis (Mediterranean mussel). The record is from RNAcentral. Lineage: Eukaryota; Metazoa; Mollusca; Bivalvia; Mytilida; Mytilidae.
AUUGUUUUAAUUUAUCAGUUGGUAGUAAAAAUGAAAAUACAUUGUAUAUUGUAUAAAACAAUGAUUAAAGUUGAUUCAACUACUAUUCUAUACAAAGAAAGAUAACUCCAAUUGAAAAAAAAAAUUGCUAUUGCACAAUAUUGUGCAAUUUGAUAUUUCUUGCUGUUGUGCAAUACUGUGCAAUUGAAAAUUUCUUGCUAUUCCACAAUACUUAAUGUGAUAAUUUUGAAUUAGACACAGUUAGAUUUGGCAUAUCAAAGAACCCCAUUUAUUCAAUUUUUGAUGAAAUCAAACAAAGUUUUAUUUUGGACCCCGAUUUGGACCAACUUGAAAACUGCAUGGGCCAACAUUCAAAAAUCUAAGUAUAUUUUUAAAUUCAGCAUAUCAAAGAACCCAACCGAUUCAAUUUUUGUCAAUAUCAAACUAAGUUUAAUUUUGGACCCUUUGGACCUUAAUGUAGACCAAUUUGAAAACGGGACCAAAAAUUAAGAAUCUACAUACACAGUUAGAUUCGGCAUAUCAAAGAAUUUCAAUUAUUCAAUUUUUGAUGAAAUCAAACAAAGUUUAAUUUUGGACCCUUUGGGCCCCUUAUUCCUAAACUGUUGGGACCAAAACUCCCAAAAUCUAUACCAACCUUCUUUUUAAGGUCAUAAACCUUGUGUUCAAAUUUCAUAGAUUUCUAUUUACUUAUACUAAAGUUAUGGUGCGAAAACCAAGAAAAAUGCUUAUUUGGGUCCCUUUUUGGCCCCUAAUUCCUAAACUGUUGGGACCUAAACUCCCAAAAUCAAUACCAACCUUCCUUUUGUGGUCAUAAACAUUGUGUUUAAAUUUCAUUGAUUUCUAUUCACUUACACUAAAGAAAUUGUGCAAAAACCAAGAAUAAUGCUUAUUUGGGCCCUUUUUUGGCCCCUAAUUCCUAAACUGUUGAAAUCAAAACUCCCAUAAUCAAUACCAAUCUUUCUUUUGUGGUCAUAAACCUUGUGUCAAAAUUUCAUAGAUUUCUAUUAACUUUUACUAAAUUUAGAGUGCGAAAACUAAAAGUAUUCGGACGACGACGACGACGACGACGCCAACGUGAUAGCAAUAUACGACGAAAAUUUU